UACGUAGGGGGCAAGCGUUGUCCGGAUUUAUUGGGCGUAAAGAGCUCGUAGGCGGUGUGUCACGUCGGCCGUGAAAACCUGCAGCUUAACUGUGGGCGUGCGGUCGAUACGGGCAUCACUGGAGUUCGGCAGGGGAGACUGGAAUUCCCGGUGUAGCGGUGAAAUGCGCAGAUAUCGGGAGGAACACCAGUAGCGAAGGCGGCUCGCUGGGCCACACCUGACGCUGAGACGCGAAAGCUAGGGGAGCGAACAGG
RNAcentral lists this ribosomal RNA (254 nucleotides) under uncultured bacterium. Its description in RNAcentral is "partial 16S ribosomal RNA". It matches the Rfam family "Bacterial small subunit ribosomal RNA", at positions 524 to 776 of the family's 1533-position model. The record is from RNAcentral.